RNAcentral lists this ribosomal RNA (1420 nucleotides) under uncultured bacterium. Its description in RNAcentral is "bacterial SSU rRNA". It matches the Rfam family "Bacterial small subunit ribosomal RNA". The record is from RNAcentral.
AGAGUUUGAUCCUGGCUCAGAUUGAACGCUGGCGGCAGGCCUAACACAUGCAAGUCGAGCGGUAGCACAGAGAGCUUGCUCUCGGGUGACGAGCGGCGGACGGGUGAGUAAUGUCUGGGAAACUGCCUGAUGGAGGGGGAUAACUACUGGAAACGGUAGCUAAUACCGCAUAAUGUCGCAAGACCAAAGUGGGGGACCUUCGGGCCUCAUGCCAUCAGAUGUGCCCAGAUGGGAUUAGCUAGUAGGUGGGGUAACGGCUCACCUAGGCGACGAUCCCUAGCUGGUCUGAGAGGAUGACCAGCCACACUGGAGCUGAGACACGGUCCAGACUCCUACGGGAGGCAGCAGUGGGGAAUAUUGCACAAUGGGCGCAAGCCUGAUGCAGCCAUGCCGCGUGUGUGAAGAAGGCCUUCGGGUUGUAAAGCACUUUCAGCGGGGAGGAAGGCGGUGAGGUUAAUAACCUCAUCGAUUGACGUUACCCGCAGAAGAAGCACCGGCUAACUCCGUGCCAGCAGCCGCGGUAAUACGGAGGGUGCAAGCGUUAAUCGGAAUUACUGGGCGUAAAGCGCACGCAGGCGGUCUGUCAAGUCGGAUGUGAAAUCCCCGGGCUCAACCUGGGAACUGCAUUCGAAACUGGCAGGCUAGAGUCUUGUAGAGGGGGGUAGAAUUCCAGGUGUAGCGGUGAAAUGCGUAGAGAUCUGGAGGAAUACCGGUGGCGAAGGCGGCCCCCUGGACAAAGACUGACGCUCAGGUGCGAAAGCGUGGGGAGCAAACAGGAUUAGAUACCCUGGUAGUCCACGCCGUAAACGAUGUCGAUUUGGAGGUUGUGCCCUUGAGGCGUGGCUUCCGGAGCUAACGCGUUAAAUCGACCGCCUGGGGAGUACGGCCGCAAGGUUAAAACUCAAAUGAAUUGACGGGGGCCCGCACAAGCGGUGGAGCAUGUGGUUUAAUUCGAUGCAACGCGAAGAACCUUACCUGGUCUUGACAUCCACAGAACUUUCCAGAGAUGGAUUGGUGCCUUCGGGAACUGUGAGACAGGUGCUGCAUGGCUGUCGUCAGCUCGUGUUGUGAAAUGUUGGGUUAAGUCCCGCAACGAGCGCAACCCUUAUCCUUUGUUGCCAGCGGUUCGGCCGGGAACUCAAAGGAGACUGCCAGUGAUAAACUGGAGGAAGGUGGGGAUGACGUCAAGUCAUCAUGGCCCUUACGACCAGGGCUACACACGUGCUACAAUGGCAUAUACAAAGAGAAGCGACCUCGCGAGAGCAAGCGGACCUCAUAAAGUAUGUCGUAGUCCGGAUUGGAGUCUGCAACUCGACUCCAUGAAGUCGGAAUCGCUAGUAAUCGUAGAUCAGAAUGCUACGGUGAAUACGUUCCCGGGCCUUGUACACACCGCCCGUCACACCAUGGGAGUGGGUUGCAA